GUCCGAUGUCAGAAGACAGAAUGAGCCAAGUGAAAUAGUUCAGAGAAUCAUGGGACCCAUCCGUAAUCAACCAAAUUUUUCAGUGAAAUAUGAAGAGCAACGGUCCAGCAAAAGGUCCAGGGAGAGAGGAGUUAAGAACCAGCAAUCUGAUCUGCCUUCUUGCCAGCCACUGUGAACUUGAUGACAAGUUUGCCCCACAAGGUUUCAGAAGAUAUGAACACAGCUUCAAGAGUCUGCUUGGAUUGUGAUAUGAUAGCCACUGAGAAACACAGUGUACAAAACUGGAUACCCUUAGAGUCAAAUGAUUUAUCUAAAUUAAGGGAAAGGUAAGGAAUCCUGGAGCAGAGCCUUAUGCCUGAAACCUGUCUGAGGGAGCCUCAUCCUUUCACACCCUGCUCCCCCAAGCCCAGCUUCCCACUGCC
Molecule: long non-coding RNA, 422 nt
Filed under: Rattus norvegicus (Norway rat)
Lineage: Eukaryota; Metazoa; Chordata; Mammalia; Rodentia; Muridae
Description: long non-coding RNA NONRATT034135
Source: RNAcentral